Non-coding RNA from Pelobates cultripes (western spadefoot toad), 315 nucleotides. NCBI's taxonomy places the organism in Eukaryota, Metazoa, Chordata, Amphibia, Anura, Pelobatidae. The record is from the annotation of a GenBank genome assembly.
CCGCACACGAGGCUCCUGCCCAGAAUAGUUUCAUAGAAUCAGACUGUGUGGUUAUAUUUCAUGGGUUUCAAAUAUAACAAAAUGACCAGAAUAACUGUUCGUGGGAAAGCUAGCCGUGUCCCCCUUGUUCCCCUUGUUCAGGAGUUAGUUUCACCGAACACUGCCUCUUUUGGAUGCAUUGGAACGAAACUAGGUGAUCCUGGAAGUCUCGGUGUUCGGGCCGUUGAGUUUCCAAAAUAGUUCCAUACACUCGACGACCAAACACCGCUGGACGCGUUCGACAAAACAAGAUGGCCGCCACCACGUGUUUCUGCA